UAUGAAUGCUUCAGAGUACAACAGUUUAUUGUGAACAGAAAAAGUAACAUCACCUUAUCCCUCCUGCCCCCUAGUGGCAUGGGGGGUACCACCCACUGAAUGGGGAUAAAACAAAAAUGCACAAUAUAUUAAAAAAAUGGGCAACAAACAUGCCGCAAGUGUGCACCAAGUACCUUAAAUAGACUUGCUUGCAACAUCACCACUCAUUCCUUCAUCAGUGCUCAGGACAAUAAAUGGCAUCCAAUCUAUUACACCCUAAACCACAUCAUAAACUUAUUUUAGUAUAUUUUCUACAGUUGUCUCAUUUAUUUAGUAGUGCAUACCAGGAGGAAAUUGCCUUAUGAGCUUGGCUGCAGGGUUAAAUAAACAAUAGAAUGGCAACAAAGAACAACACAAAACUGCACAAGAACUACAGUUAUUACAGGCAACCUUCUUGGUCAUCCACUUUAAUGAGUCAAACGUAAUGAUUCCCAUGUGGUUCUGGUUCAUGUGUCACUCCUUGGCAGCAUAACAUUAGUAUUUGAUCUGAAUCUAAUUGAACACAUUUUUCAUAUGCUAAAGAGGGAACUUAAGGGAACUAGCCCCCGAAAGAAGCAGUUGCUGAAGAUGGCUGCAGGACAGGCCUGGCAGAGCAUCACCAGAGAAGAUACUCAACUGAUGUCUAUGGCACAGACUUCAUGCGAUCAUCAGUACAAACAAUGCAAUGCUGGCAAUACUUCAAGCCAACUCAAGCUGCAUGUCAUGGAAAAAAUGACCAGCAAUAAAUAAAAAUGCCAUCC
This is a long non-coding RNA of Anguilla anguilla (European eel), 779 nucleotides long. RefSeq lists it as uncharacterized. The transcript has 2 exons. The record is from RefSeq and is a predicted model, not a curated record. Lineage: Eukaryota; Metazoa; Chordata; Actinopteri; Anguilliformes; Anguillidae.